This 440-nucleotide ribosomal RNA is filed under the name uncultured bacterium. Its description in RNAcentral is "partial 16S ribosomal RNA". It matches the Rfam family "Bacterial small subunit ribosomal RNA", at positions 338 to 795 of the family's 1533-position model. The record is from RNAcentral.
CCUACGGGAGGCAGCAGUGGGGAAUAUUGCGCAAUGGACGAAAGUCUGAUCCAGCGACGCCGCGUGAAGGAAGAAGUAUUUCGGUAUGUAAACUUCUAUUAGCAGGGAAGAACAGGACGGUACCUGACUUAAAAGCCCCGGCUAACACCGUGCCAGCAGCCGCGGUAAUACGUAGGGGGCAAGCGUGAUCCGGAUUUACUGGGUGUAAAGGGAGCGUAGGCGGUUGAGCAAGUCAGAAGUGAAAGCCCGGGGCUCAACCCCGGGACUGCAUUUGAAACUGUUGAACUAGAGUGCAGGAGAGGUAAGUGGAAUUCCUAGUGUAGCGGUGAAAUGCGUAGAUAUAAGGAGGAACACCAGUGGCGAAGGCGGCUUACUGGACUGUAAAUGACGCUGAGGCUCGAAAGCGUGGGGAGCAAACAGGAUUAGAUACCCGAGUAGUC